RNAcentral lists this ribosomal RNA (229 nucleotides) under uncultured bacterium. Its description in RNAcentral is "partial 16S ribosomal RNA". It matches the Rfam family "Bacterial small subunit ribosomal RNA", at positions 568 to 796 of the family's 1533-position model. The record is from RNAcentral.
UCCGUAGGCGGGCAAUUAAGUCAGAGGUGAAAUCCCACAGCUCAACUGUGGAACUGCCUUUGAUACUGGUUGUCUUGAGUUGCAGUGAAGUAGAUAGAAUAUGUAGUGUAGCGGUGAAAUGCAUAGAUAUUACAUAGAAUACCGAUUGCGAAGGCAGUCUACUAACUGUAUACUGACGCUAAUGGACGAAAGCGUGGGGAGCGAACAGGAUUAGAUACCCUGGUAGUCC